RNAcentral lists this ribosomal RNA (2665 nucleotides) under Salmonella enterica subsp. enterica serovar Enteritidis. Its description in RNAcentral is "partial 23S ribosomal RNA". It matches the Rfam family "Bacterial large subunit ribosomal RNA". Lineage: Bacteria; Pseudomonadati; Pseudomonadota; Gammaproteobacteria; Enterobacterales; Enterobacteriaceae. The record is from RNAcentral.
CGAAUGGGGAAACCCAGUGUGACUCGUCACACUAUCAUUAACUGAAUCCAUAGGUUAAUGAGGCGAACCGGGGGAACUGAAACAUCUAAGUACCCCGAGGAAAAGAAAUCAACCGAGAUUCCCCCAGUAGCGGCGAGCGAACGGGGAGGAGCCCAGAGCCUGAAUCAGCAUGUGUGUUAGUGGAAGCGUCUGGAAAGGCGCGCGAUACAGGGUGACAGCCCCGUACACAAAAGCGCAUGUGCUGUGAGCUCGAUGAGUAGGGCGGGACACGUGGUAUCCUGUCUGAAUAUGGGGGGACCAUCCUCCAAGGCUAAAUACUCCUGACUGACCGAUAGUGAACCAGUACCGUGAGGGAAAGGCGAAAAGAACCCCGGCGAGGGGAGUGAAAAAGAACCUGAAACCGUGUACGUACAAGCAGUGGGAGCACAGGUUUACCUGUGUGACUGCGUACCUUUUGUAUAAUGGGUCAGCGACUUAUAUUCUGUAGCAAGGUUAACCGAAUAGGGGAGCCGGAGGGAAACCGAGUCUUAAUUGGGCGUUAAGUUGCAGGGUAUAGACCCGAAACCCGGUGAUCUAGCCAUGGGCAGGUUGAAGGUUGGGUAACACUAACUGGAGGACCGAACCGACUAAUGUUGAAAAAUUAGCGGAUGACCUGUGGCUGGGGGUGAAAGGCCAAUCAAACCGGGAGAUAGCUGGUUCUCCCCGAAAGCUAUUUAGGUAGCGCCUCGUGAAUUCAUCUCCGGGGGUAGAGCACUGUUUCGGCUAGGGGGCCAUCCCGGCUUACCAACCCGAUGCAAACUGCGAAUACCGGAGAAUGUUAUCACGGGAGACACACGGCGGGUGCUAACGUCCGUCGUGAAGAGGGAAACAACCCAGACCGCCAGCUAAGGUCCCAAAGUCAUGGUUAAGUGGGAAACGAUGUGGGAAGGCCCAGACAGCCAGGAUGUUGGCUUAGAAGCAGCCAUCAUUUAAAGAAAGCGUAAUAGCUCACUGGUCGAGUCGGCCUGCGCGGAAGAUGUAACGGGGCUAAACCAUGCACCGAAGCUGCGGCAGCGACACUGUGUGUUGUUGGGUAGGGGAGCGUUCUGUAAGCCUGUGAAGGUGUGUCGUGAGGCAUGCUGGAGGUAUCAGAAGUGCGAAUGCUGACAUAAGUAACGAUAAAGCGGGUGAAAAGCCCGCUCGCCGGAAGACCAAGGGUUCCUGUCCAACGUUAAUCGGGGCAGGGUGAGUCGACCCCUAAGGCGAGGCCGAAAGGCGUAGUCGAUGGGAAACGGGUUAAUAUUCCCGUACUUGGUGUUACUGCGAAGGGGGGACGGAGAAGGCUAUGUUGGCCGGGCGACGGUUGUCCCGGUUUAAGCGUGUAGGUGUGUGUUCCAGGUAAAUCCGGUUCACUUUAACACUGAGGCGUGACGACGAGGCACUACGGUGCUGAAGCAACAAAUGCCCUGCUUCCAGGAAAAGCCUCUAAGCAUCAGGUAACAUCAAAUCGUACCCCAAACCGACACAGGUGGUCAGGUAGAGAAUACCAAGGCGCUUGAGAGAACUCGGGUGAAGGAACUAGGCAAAAUGGUGCCGUAACUUCGGGAGAAGGCACGCUGACACGUAGGUGAAGUGAUUUACUCAUGGAGCUGAAGUCAGUCGAAGAUACCAGCUGGCUGCAACUGUUUAUUAAAAACACAGCACUGUGCAAACACGAAAGUGGACGUAUACGGUGUGACGCCUGCCCGGUGCCGGAAGGUUAAUUGAUGGGGUCAGCGCAAGCGAAGCUCCUGAUCGAAGCCCCGGUAAACGGCGGCCGUAACUAUAACGGUCCUAAGGUAGCGAAAUUCCUUGUCGGGUAAGUUCCGACCUGCACGAAUGGCGUAAUGAUGGCCAGGCUGUCUCCACCCGAGACUCAGUGAAAUUGAACUCGCUGUGAAGAUGCAGUGUACCCGCGGCAAGACGGAAAGACCCCGUGAACCUUUACUAUAGCUUGACACUGAACAUUGAGCCUUGAUGUGUAGGAUAGGUGGGAGGCUUUGAAGUGUGGACGCCAGUCUGCAUGGAGCCGACCUUGAAAUACCACCCUUUAAUGUUUGAUGUUCUAACGUGGACCCGUUACCCGGGUUGCGGACAGUGUCUGGUGGGUAGUUUGACUGGGGCGGUCUCCUCCUAAAGAGUAACGGAGGAGCACGAAGGUUGGCUAAUCCUGGUCGGACAUCAGGAGGUUAGUGCAAUGGCAUAAGCCAGCUUGACUGCGAGCGUGACGGCGCGAGCAGGUGCGAAAGCAGGUCAUAGUGAUCCGGUGGUUCUGAAUGGAAGGGCCAUCGCUCAACGGAUAAAAGGUACUCCGGGGAUAACAGGCUGAUACCGCCCAAGAGUUCAUAUCGACGGCGGUGUUUGGCACCUCGAUGUCGGCUCAUCACAUCCUGGGGCUGAAGUAGGUCCCAAGGGUAUGGCUGUUCGCCAUUUAAAGUGGUACGCGAGCUGGGUUUAGAACGUCGUGAGACAGUUCGGUCCCUAUCUGCCGUGGGCGCUGGAGAACUGAGGGGGGCUGCUCCUAGUACGAGAGGACCGGAGUGGACGCAUCACUGGUGUUCGGGUUGUCAUGCCAAUGGCACUGCCCGGUAGCUAAAUGCGGAAGAGAUAAGUGCUGAAAGCAUCUAAGCACGAAACUUGCCCCGAG